UGUGGGAGAGACCCCGACUCGAUCGGGGCGCCGAAGGAGCAACCGCCCCCGGAAACUCUCAGGCAGAAGGACCACCG
RNAcentral lists this non-coding RNA (77 nucleotides) under marine eukaryotic metagenome. RNAcentral's name for it is "Glycine riboswitch". It matches the Rfam family "Glycine riboswitch aptamer", at positions 10 to 85 of the family's 94-position model. Rfam says of the family: This family represents the bacterial glycine riboswitch. The record is from RNAcentral.